This 619-nucleotide ribosomal RNA is filed under the name Typhlocirolana haouzensis. RNAcentral describes it as "bacterial SSU rRNA". It matches the Rfam family "Eukaryotic small subunit ribosomal RNA", at positions 1 to 555 of the family's 1831-position model. The record is from RNAcentral. Lineage: Eukaryota; Metazoa; Arthropoda; Malacostraca; Isopoda; Cirolanidae.
AACCUGGUUGAUCCUGCCAGUAGUCAUAUGCUUGUUUCAAAGAUUAAGCCAUGCAUGUCUGAGUACAAGCCGAACUAAGGUGAAACCGCGAAUGGCUCAUUAAAUCAGUUAUGAUCCACUGGAUCUAGUAAAAACCCAUUACUUGGAUAACUGUGGUAAUUCUAGAGCUAAUACAUGCAACUGAGUUCUGACCCCGUCCGUCGAUACUAUUUUUAUUUAAUAGGCGGAUCGGGGGAAGGGCGCAUUUAUUAGAUCACAAAACCGAUCGGACUUCGGUCCGUUAUAAAAUUUAAAAAUAUCUUUCGAGUGAUGACUCUGGAUAACCACGGCCGAGCGCUGCGGUCUUCGAACCGGCGCCGUAUCCUUCGAGUGUCUGCCUUAUCAGCUGUCGAUUGUAGCUUAUUCGUCUACAAUGGCUGUAACGGGUAACGGGGAAUCAGGGUUCGAUUCCGGAGAGGGAGCCUGAGAAACGGCUACCACAUCUAAGGGAGAAGCAGGCACGCAAAUUACCCACUCCCGGCUCAGGGUAGUGACCAGAAAUAACGAUGCGGGACUCUUCCGAGGCCUCGCAAUCGGAAUGAAGUUUACUUUAAAUCCUUACCCAGGAUCGAUUGGAGGG